Molecule: ribosomal RNA, 2923 nt
Filed under: Klebsiella quasipneumoniae
Lineage: Bacteria; Pseudomonadati; Pseudomonadota; Gammaproteobacteria; Enterobacterales; Enterobacteriaceae
Description: 23S ribosomal RNA
Rfam family: Bacterial large subunit ribosomal RNA
Source: RNAcentral
GGGUUGUGAGGUUAAGCGACUAAGCGUACACGGUGGAUGCCCUGGCAGUCAGAGGCGAUGAAGGACGUGCUAAUCUGCGAAAAGCGUCGGUAAGGUGAUAUGAACCGUUAUAACCGGCGAUGUCCGAAUGGGGAAACCCAGUGCAAUUCGUUGCACUAUCGUUAACUGAAUACAUAGGUUAACGAGGCGAACCGGGGGAACUGAAACAUCUAAGUACCCCGAGGAAAAGAAAUCAACCGAGAUUCCCCCAGUAGCGGCGAGCGAACGGGGAGCAGCCCAGAGUCUGAAUCAGCUUGUGUGUUAGUGGAACGGUCUGGAAAGUCCGACGGUACAGGGUGAUAGUCCCGUACACCAAAAUGCACAGGCUGUGAACUCGAAGAGUAGGGCGGGACACGUGGUAUCCUGUCUGAAUAUGGGGGGACCAUCCUCCAAGGCUAAAUACUCCUGACUGACCGAUAGUGAACCAGUACCGUGAGGGAAAGGCGAAAAGAACCCCGGCGAGGGGAGUGAAAAAGAACCUGAAACCGUGUACGUACAAGCAGUGGGAGCACCUUCGGGUGUGACUGCGUACCUUUUGUAUAAUGGGUCAGCGACUUAUAUUCUGUAGCAAGGUUAACCGUAUAGGGGAGCCGCAGGGAAACCGAGUCUUAACUGGGCGUUAAGUUGCAGGGUAUAGACCCGAAACCCGGUGAUCUAGCCAUGGGCAGGUUGAAGGUUGGGUAACACUAACUGGAGGACCGAACCGACUAAUGUUGAAAAAUUAGCGGAUGACUUGUGGCUGGGGGUGAAAGGCCAAUCAAACCGGGAGAUAGCUGGUUCUCCCCGAAAGCUAUUUAGGUAGCGCCUCGUGAACUCAUCUUCGGGGGUAGAGCACUGUUUCGGCUAGGGGGUCAUCCCGACUUACCAACCCGAUGCAAACUACGAAUACCGAAGAAUGUUAUCACGGGAGACACACGGCGGGUGCUAACGUCCGUCGUGAAGAGGGAAACAACCCAGACCGCCAGCUAAGGUCCCAAAGUCAUGGUUAAGUGGGAAACGAUGUGGGAAGGCACAGACAGCCAGGAUGUUGGCUUAGAAGCAGCCAUCAUUUAAAGAAAGCGUAAUAGCUCACUGGUCGAGUCGGCCUGCGCGGAAGAUGUAACGGGGCUAAACCAUGCACCGAAGCUGCGGCAGCGACACGAUGUGUUGUUGGGUAGGGGAGCGUUCUGUAAGCCUGCGAAGGUGACCUGUGAGGGUUGCUGGAGGUAUCAGAAGUGCGAAUGCUGACAUAAGUAACGAUAAAGCGGGUGAAAAGCCCGCUCGCCGGAAGACCAAGGGUUCCUGUCCAACGUUAAUCGGGGCAGGGUGAGUCGACCCCUAAGGCGAGGCCGAAAGGCGUAGUCGAUGGGAAACAGGUUAAUAUUCCUGUACUUGGUGUUACUGCGAAGGGGGGACGGAGAAGGCUAUGUUAGCCGGGCGACGGUUGUCCCGGUUUAAGCAUGUAGGCUGGUUAUCCAGGCAAAUCCGGAUAAUCAAGGCUGAGGUGUGAUGACGAGGCACUACGGUGCUGAAGUAACAAAUGCCCUGCUUCCAGGAAAAGCCUCUAAGCAUCAGGUAACAUCAAAUCGUACCCCAAACCGACACAGGUGGUCAGGUAGAGAAUACCAAGGCGCUUGAGAGAACUCGGGUGAAGGAACUAGGCAAAAUGGUGCCGUAACUUCGGGAGAAGGCACGCUGGUGUGUAGGUGAAGUCCCUGCGGAUGGAGCUGAGACCAGUCGAAGAUACCAGCUGGCUGCAACUGUUUAUUAAAAACACAGCACUGUGCAAACACGAAAGUGGACGUAUACGGUGUGACGCCUGCCCGGUGCCGGAAGGUUAAUUGAUGGGGUUAUCCGUAAGGAGAAGCUCUUGAUCGAAGCCCCGGUAAACGGCGGCCGUAACUAUAACGGUCCUAAGGUAGCGAAAUUCCUUGUCGGGUAAGUUCCGACCUGCACGAAUGGCGUAAUGAUGGCCAGGCUGUCUCCACCCGAGACUCAGUGAAAUUGAACUCGCUGUGAAGAUGCAGUGUACCCGCGGCAAGACGGAAAGACCCCGUGAACCUUUACUAUAGCUUGACACUGAACAUUGAGCCUUGAUGUGUAGGAUAGGUGGGAGGCUUUGAAGCGUGGACGCCAGUCUGCGUGGAGCCAACCUUGAAAUACCACCCUUUAAUGUUUGAUGUUCUAACGUGGGCCCCUAAUCGGGGUUGCGGACAGUGUCUGGUGGGUAGUUUGACUGGGGCGGUCUCCUCCCAAAGCGUAACGGAGGAGCACGAAGGUUAGCUAAUCCUGGUCGGACAUCAGGAGGUUAGUGCAAUGGCAUAAGCUAGCUUGACUGCGAGCGUGACGGCGCGAGCAGGUGCGAAAGCAGGUCAUAGUGAUCCGGUGGUUCUGAAUGGAAGGGCCAUCGCUCAACGGAUAAAAGGUACUCCGGGGAUAACAGGCUGAUACCGCCCAAGAGUUCAUAUCGACGGCGGUGUUUGGCACCUCGAUGUCGGCUCAUCACAUCCUGGGGCUGAAGUAGGUCCCAAGGGUAUGGCUGUUCGCCAUUUAAAGUGGUACGCGAGCUGGGUUUAGAACGUCGUGAGACAGUUCGGUCCCUAUCUGCCGUGGGCGCUGGAGAAUUGAGGGGGGCUGCUCCUAGUACGAGAGGACCGGAGUGGACGCAUCACUGGUGUUCGGGUUGUCAUGCCAAUGGCACUGCCCGGUAGCUAAAUGCGGAAGAGAUAAGUGCUGAAAGCAUCUAAGCACGAAACUUGCCCCGAGAUGAGUUCUCCCUGAGACUUUAAGUCUCCUGAAGGAACGUUGAAGACGACGACGUUGAUAGGCCGGGUGUGUAAGCGCAGCGAUGCGUUGAGCUAACCGGUACUAAUGAACCGUGAGGCUUAACCUUACAACGCCGAAG